UACGUAGGUGGCAAGCGUUGUCCGGAUUUACUGGGCGUAAAGAGCGCGCAGGCGGUCGUUCAAGUCGCGUGUGAAAGCCCCCGGCUCAACUGGGGAGGGUCACGCGAUACUGAUCGACUCGAAGGCAGGAGAGGGAAGUGGAAUUCCCGGUGUAGCGGUGAAAUGCGCAGAUAUCAGGAGGAACACCGGUGGCGAAGGCGGUUCUCUGGGCAUGUCCUGACGCUGAGGAGCGAAAGUGUGGGGAGCGAACAGG
This 253-nucleotide ribosomal RNA is filed under the name uncultured bacterium. Its description in RNAcentral is "partial 16S ribosomal RNA". It matches the Rfam family "Bacterial small subunit ribosomal RNA", at positions 524 to 776 of the family's 1533-position model. The record is from RNAcentral.